GUCUUUUAAUUGAAGGCUUGUAUGAAUGGUUGGAUGAAAAAUAUACUUUCUUUAUUUUAUAUAAAAAAUUUAAUUUUCUAGUCAAAAAGCUAGGAUUUUUUUAUAGGACGAGAAGACCCUAUAGAACUUUAUUUUCUUUUUUUAUAAAUUUUAUAGAUAAAUAUAAGUUUAUAUAUUUUUGUUAAUUUUGUUGGGGUGAUUGAAAAAAUUUUUUAACUUUUUCUAUUUUUUACAUUUAUAUAUGUUUUUUUGAUCCUUUAUUAAGGAAUAUAAGAUUAAGUUACCUUAGGGAUAACAGCGUUAUUUUUUUGGAGAGUUCUUAUCGAUAAAAAAGUUUGCGACCUCGAUGUUGGAUUAAAUUAAGUAAUAGGAGUAGAAUAUUAUUUACUAGGUCUGUUCGACCUUUAAAUUUUUACA
Molecule: ribosomal RNA, 417 nt
Filed under: Apolygus roseofemoralis
Lineage: Eukaryota; Metazoa; Arthropoda; Insecta; Hemiptera; Miridae
Description: partial 16S ribosomal RNA
Source: RNAcentral